GUCUCAUUAAGUUGCUUAAGCUGGCUUUGAACUUGUGAUCCUCCUAACCUCUGCCUUCCAAGUUGCUGGGAUUACAAGCCUGUGACACUGCCUAGCAAAAAGUUGGAUGUUUUUAUUUCUUUAUAACUUUAUUUGGUACCAAUGAGCUACAUCUCCAGCCCUUCUUUUUACUUUGAGACAGUAUGACAAGUUGCCAAAGCUGGCCUUGAAUUUGCAACCUCCUGUUUCAGUCUCUUAAAUAGCUGGGAUUACAGGCAUGUGCCACCAUGAAUAAGCUUAGUAUUUAUAUUCAUCCUAAAAAGACAAGAACUUGCUUCCUCCAUCUCUUCUACUUCAUGUUGACAGUUUGAAUUCAUUAAUUUUGGUUUACUGUAGAUGUAUUUCCUUCCCCCUCUUCCCCCCACCCCCAUAUACAAUUACCAAGAUAUUUGACUACUAAAUUAUCCCCCUAGCUUUCCUAAUAUCUCUGGACUUGUUUUCUUCUUGAAUACUUUUCCCCCAAAUUUUAACAUGUACUUUUGAGUGGUAAAUAUUAAUGCUUUUAUUAAACCCUCACAUUUUAAAGACAAAUUGCUAAAAAAUUUCAAGUCCAGUACUUUAAAAAUAUUACACUCUGCUCCUACUGCUCAGGACUCAGAAGACUCAGGUCAAUCUGAUUCCUUUCUUUAUACAUUUACUCUACAUAAAAGCUUUAAGAUUUUUCUCAUUAUCUUUGAUACUCUUACAUUUCAGUAUAUGUCUAUAUGUGGAUAUUUUCUCUUUUCACUCUGGCCCUUUCUAUCUCUAUUUAAACUUUUUCUAAGUCUCCUUUAUUUCCUGAAUGUUGGCACAUCCGUCUUCCAUGUCACUUAAAUCAUUUUCACAUUUCCAAGUUACCUUUUUUAAAAAAACAAAACCAAAACAAAACUUCCUUCUGGGAGUUUUCUAGAUUGAUUUUUCAACUCAACUUAUUCUUCAGUUGUAUCUAUUUUUAUUCCAUUCAAUUUUUUCUUCAUUUUAUAAAGAGAAACCAGAGUAUGUGGGGUUGUUUUUCACUACGGGAGAAUGAACUGAGGAAAGUCUGAGCUAUAUUCUCAACCCUUUUAAUUUUUUUUAAAUUUGUUCUUGUAUUAGGGAUUCAAUCAGAGGCUCUCUACCUCAACUUUUAUUUCCAGGAUCCUUCACUCAAUAAGUUGCUGAUGCUGCCCUCAAAUUUGCAAUGUUCCUGCCAUCGUCUCCAGAGUAGCAAGACACACACCUCACAGUGUUUUUUUGUUGUUGUUGUUGUUUUUGUACCAGGGAUUGAACCCAGUGGUGCUUACCACUGAGUUGCAUCCCCAGCCCUUUUUUUAUAUUUUGAGACAGGAUCUCGCUGAAUUGCUUAGGGUCUCAAUCAGUUGCUGAGAACUUGAGAUCCUCAUGCCUCAGUCUCUC
RNAcentral lists this long non-coding RNA (1413 nucleotides) under Marmota monax (woodchuck). Lineage: Eukaryota; Metazoa; Chordata; Mammalia; Rodentia; Sciuridae. The record is from RNAcentral.